Solanum lycopersicum (tomato) is the source of this 1716-nucleotide RNA transcript. It is a transcript of the gene named rhodanese-like domain-containing protein 4, chloroplastic, with no coding region annotated. The record is from RefSeq and is a predicted model, not a curated record. Lineage: Eukaryota; Viridiplantae; Streptophyta; Magnoliopsida; Solanales; Solanaceae.
GAUGAUGAAAUAUGCCAAAAUCUAAUAGAAAGAAAAAAAAGAUUAGCUAGUACUGUACUACAAUUCCUCAAAUCAACUCCCUUUAAGACUACAUAGAAAUUUCAGAGUGAACUGUGACAAAGAAAUUAUAGUAUGGAGGCAAUUAAUGCUGUAAGAUUGACACCUCUAUCUGUUCGUUCUGAUAGGAAAAAUGAGGCCAAGAAAAUCCCAUCACACCCCAUUUCUUUCCCAUUCAAGAAUCUUUGUUCAGUUGAGAAUUUAUCAAGAAAUGUUCAAGGGGGUUUAGUACUUGUAUCAUCAGUUCUAAAUACAGGCUUAGCUAAAGCAUUAACAUAUGAGGAGACAAUUGAACAAUCCGAAACAAUCCCAGGUGCUGAGUUUGAUGCAACUGCAGUUGUGGAAACUGUGACCACUUUUGCAUCAGAGAAUCCUAUUAUUAUAGCUGGUGGAUUUGCUGCUUUGGCUUUGCCAAUUGUUCUGUUUCAGGUUCUUGGAAAGCCUCCCAAGUCAUGGGGUGUUGAGUCUGCCAAAACAGCUUAUGCAAAAUUGGCAGAUGAUGCAGGUGCACAGUUGCUUGAUAUAAGAGCAACUGCAGAAUUGAGGGAAGUAGGGACUCCUGAUAUUAGGGGUUUGAAGAAAAAGCCAGUUACUGUUGUUUAUAAGGCUGAAGAUAAGACUGGUUUCUUAAAAAAACUGUCUUUGAAGUUCAAGGAGCCUGAGAAUACUACAUUGUUCAUUCUAGACAAAUUUGAUGGGAACUCUGAACUGGUUGCGGAGUUAGUCACAGAAAAUGGAUUUAAAGCUGCUUAUGCAAUUAAAGAUGGUGCUGAAGGACCCCGGGGAUGGCUGAACAGCAGCCUUCCUUGGAUUCUUCCUAAGAAAACAUUGGGUCUUGAUCUGAGCAAUCUGUCUGAUGCUCUUGAUGGUGUUCUUGGGGAAGGUUCUGAUGCUGUUACUGUAGGCUUAGGUGUUGCUGCAGCUACUGGUCUGGGGAUUUUAGCCUUCUCAGAGGUAGAAACAAUUCUCCAACUUUUGGGUUCAGCUGCACUUGUCCAACUGGUUAGCAAGAAACUCCUGUUUGCAGAGGACAGAAAGAAAACUCUGCAACAAGUUGAUGAGUUCCUCACCACUAAGGUUGCUCCAAAGGAGCUGGUAGAUGAGAUUAAGCAAAUAGGGAAGGCUCUUCUUCCAGACUCGGUGAGUAGCAAUGCUCUACCUGCACCAGUAGAGGCAAGCCCUGCUGCAGCCACCAGCACUGUUGAGGAAACUGAAUCAGUUCCUAAAGAGGAUAUUGCACCGCCUAAAGUAGAAGCAAUUUCCCCACCUACUCCAGAAGUCAGUUCAGUCCCUAACGCUGAAGUCAAAGCUGAUGCACUACCUGAAAGUUCAAGGCCACUCUCGCCUUAUCCUAAUUAUCCUGAUCUCAAGCCUCCAACAUCGCCGAUGCCUUCACAACCAUAGAACUGGACAUGCACAGGCUGCCAUAUAGCCUAGGUAACAACAAGCAUAGCUAGCUAUAGCCUAGUUUGGAAUGUUGGAAGUGAUUAUUUCUCAAUAUUUGAGUCUAAGGGGUAUCUACAGCAAAUGAUCAAGGCAUGUCCAAGUUAAACUCUACUGCUUCCUUUCCUAUAGUGUUGUCACUUUUCGCUUUAUCUUUUUUUAUUUGAAAUGUAUUUAAUACAGGCAUUAAAUAAUGAGGAAGUUUUGAGAUUAUAA